RNAcentral lists this ribosomal RNA (229 nucleotides) under uncultured bacterium. RNAcentral's name for it is "partial 16S ribosomal RNA". It matches the Rfam family "Bacterial small subunit ribosomal RNA", at positions 568 to 796 of the family's 1533-position model. The record is from RNAcentral.
UGCGUAGGCGGAUUAUUUAGUCAGUGGUGAAAUCCUGCGGCUUAACCGUAGAACUGCCAUUGAUACUGGUAAUCUUGAAUUUAGUUGAGGUAGGCGGAAUGUGUAAUGUAGCGGUGAAAUGCUUAGAGAUUACACAGAACACCAAUUGCGUAGGCAGCUUACUAAGCUAAUAUUGACGCUGAGGCACGAAAGCAUGGGGAGCGAACAGGAUUAGAUACCCUGGUAGUCC